Molecule: ribosomal RNA, 544 nt
Filed under: Methylibium sp. R8
Lineage: Bacteria; Pseudomonadati; Pseudomonadota; Betaproteobacteria; Burkholderiales; Sphaerotilaceae
Description: bacterial SSU rRNA
Rfam family: Bacterial small subunit ribosomal RNA
Source: RNAcentral
AUGAUGUGAUUUAAUUCGAUGCAACGCGAAAAACCUUACCUACCCUUGACAUGUCUAGAAGUUACCAGAGAUGGUUUCGUGCUCGAAAGAGAACUAGAACACAGGUGCUGCAUGGCCGUCGUYAGYUCSUGUCGUGAGAUGUUGGGUUAAGUCCCGCAACGAGCGCAACCCUUGUCAUUAGUUGCUACGUAAGGGCACUCUAAUGAGACUGCCGGUGACAAACCGGAGGAAGGUGGGGAUGACGUCAGGUCAUCAUGGCCCUUAUGGGUAGGGCUACACACGUCAUACAAUGGCCGGUACAGAGGGCUGCCAACCCGCGAGGGGGAGCCAAUCCCAGAAAACCGGUCGUAGUCCGGAUCGCAGUCUGCAACUCGACUGCGUGAAGUCGGAAUCGCUAGUAAUCGCGGAUCAGCUUGCCGCGGUGAAUACGUUCCCGGGUCUUGUACACACCGCCCGUCACACCAUGGGAGCGGGUUCUGCCAGAAGUAGUUAGCCUAACCGCAAGGAGGGCGAUUACCACGGCAGGGUUCGUGACUGGGGUGAA